This 373-nucleotide ribosomal RNA is filed under the name uncultured organism. RNAcentral describes it as "bacterial SSU rRNA". It matches the Rfam family "Bacterial small subunit ribosomal RNA", at positions 526 to 896 of the family's 1533-position model. The record is from RNAcentral.
CGAAGGGUGCAAGCGUUUACUCGGAAUUACUGGGCGUAAAGCGUGCGUAGGUGGUGAGUUAAGUCUGUCGUGAAAGCCCCGGGCUCAACCUGGGAAUGGCGAUGGAUACUGGCUCGCUAGAGUGCGGUAGAGGAGAGUGGAAUUCCCGGUGUAGCAGUGAAAUGCGUAGAGAUCGGGAGGAACAUCAGUUGCGAAGGCGGCUCUCUGGACCAGCACUGACACUGGGGCACGAAAGCGUGGGGAGCAAACAGGAUUAGAUACCCUGGUAGUCCACGCCCUAAACGAUGCGAACUGGACGUUGGGAGCAACUAGGCUCUCAGUGUCGAAGCUAACGCGUUAAGUUCGCCGCCUGGGGAGUACGGUCGCAAGACUG